UUUGAUUACGUCCCUGCCCUUUGUACACACCGCCCGUCGCUGCCCGGGACUGAGCCAUUUCGAGAAAUUUGGGGACUGUUGAUUUAACUUUUUUUUAAAAAGUUUUUUUGAUGGAAACCAAUUUAAUCGCAGUGGCUUGAACCGGGCAAAAGUCGUAACAAGGUAGCUGUAGGUGAACCUGCUGCUGGAUCAUU
Molecule: ribosomal RNA, 194 nt
Filed under: Meloidogyne minor
Lineage: Eukaryota; Metazoa; Nematoda; Chromadorea; Rhabditida; Meloidogynidae
Description: partial 18S ribosomal RNA
Rfam family: Eukaryotic small subunit ribosomal RNA
Source: RNAcentral